Ornithodoros turicata is the source of this 947-nucleotide long non-coding RNA. RefSeq lists it as uncharacterized. The record is from RefSeq and is a predicted model, not a curated record. Lineage: Eukaryota; Metazoa; Arthropoda; Arachnida; Ixodida; Argasidae. The transcript has 4 exons.
UGAACGCAGCUUCCCAAGAAUCCAGUACAGUUUUGGAGACGUCCCAGAAUGAAGGCUGUCUUAGUUAUAUCUCAUCUCCUGAUAUGGGCAAAUUGUAACCAAAGCCUACCUGAAGCGCUGCAGCUACACGUGUGAAAUGCCUUAUCUUCCAAGAUCACAGAAGUCGCAAACACGGAAUGAACCCGAAUGGACGCCCUGCGCGAAAGGGCCUUUCGGGAAGAGCCAUAGGGAACGUGGAUUGUAUUAUGUCUACGGAAACUGUCAAGGCGGGGAGUGUUAUUAAUACACAGAUGGAUCUCUUCAUUUAACUACUGGUACGGGCUUCACACGGGUUUCUUACUUCUGACCACGGUUUCUGGUAUCACGUGUUAAGCAUUCUCCCUAGCAAAUGCACGUGCUCAUUAUAAGCAUUUCUAUGUUAUUGGUACUUAUAAUCUGCUGUCUUCCCAAGCCAGCGUGGGCUCGUUGCGCAGCAUGGCUGCGCCGUCUUGCACACCAUAAACACAACCAUCCACCAGCCAUCAUACCCCGUGCUGUAAUUUUAUUAUCCUCUGCUCGACCACAAUGGCAUGGCAAUAUGCCUACACAUAUGGUUUAAGAAAUUUACGACGACAAAUAUGUGUGAGGAUGAGUCGUGGCAAGUGAAUAGUAACGCAAUGACUUGGUGCAUGCUGCAAACAAAGCAACCAGAAGCUGAAGGUUGGGCAGAGAAUAACGACAUUCCAGCCUACAUGUGGCAAUAGGUCACAUGGGACUCUUGAAACUGGCUGACUAAAUUCAUCUGAAGACGGACGCAAAGAAGACUACCCACGUGGGACGGAACUACAGCUUCCCGUACAGCAUGGUAGCUACGUGAAAUGUUAACACAUUUCCGCAUCACGCCCUUCAUGCACAGGCAUUGGUCGGUUAUUUGUUCGAACGAAAUAAAUCGCUGUUGCUGCUGCUGA